RNAcentral lists this transfer RNA (63 nucleotides) under Tenebrionoidea sp. 1 KM-2017. RNAcentral's name for it is "tRNA-Asp". The record is from RNAcentral. Lineage: Eukaryota; Metazoa; Arthropoda; Insecta; Coleoptera.
AAGAAUUUAGUUAAUAAAUAACGUUAGAUUGUCAGACUAAAAUAAACUAAAGGUUAAUUCUUA